Long non-coding RNA from Pomacea canaliculata, 600 nucleotides. RefSeq lists it as uncharacterized. The transcript is spliced from 3 exons. NCBI's taxonomy places the organism in Eukaryota, Metazoa, Mollusca, Gastropoda, Architaenioglossa, Ampullariidae. The record is from RefSeq and is a predicted model, not a curated record.
CUCACACACACACAUACACACGCAUGCGCGAAGAAAAAUCGAUGAACGGGUCUGACCCACACGACUGCAUGCAAAGCAAUGCACUAUUUGUAAACAUCCAGCCUAAGCUAUGCUGCAUAAAUGAUGCACCAGGCUCCUUUAAAACGCGGUUGGUGUUCGAAGCAAACUGCAAACGACAUCAUCUGCGUGACAAAACACACACCCGAUCGCACUGGGAGCAGUACUGGUUGGUAACAAACCCUACUUCCAAAUCAAUCAGCCCCAAUCCAGCAUACUCAGAAUCGUCACCGAGUCGGCUAGGUCUGAAGUGUCUGGCCGUGAAAAGCGCCAGCUAAGGUGAAAGGAUGCCACGUCGAAGGUGGGUCGAAAUGUCUGCAAGGGCACCGUGCCAGUCGCCACACCUGCUGACGUCGGUUCAACAUCAUACAAAGAGGUGCGGCUAAGAGUUUGUAACAUUGGCUCGCUACCAAGUUCUUUCAUCUAGAGCCCAUUGAAAUGCCUAACGCGCGCCACUACCGACUGCGGACUCCUUAUGCGACCGACGGCCAGUCAUGGCUGAACGAUCGAUGGCACGGCAACUCCUGACAAAUACAAAAUGAG